UGAAACUCAAAGGANNNGNCGGGGGCCCGCACAAGCGGUGGAGCAUGUGGUUUAAUUNGAAGCAACGCGAAGAACCUUNCCAGGUCUUGACAUCCCUCUGNCCGCUCUAGAGAUAGAGCUUUCCUUCGGGACAGAGGUGACAGGUGGUGCAUGGUUGUCGUCAGCUCGUGUCGUGAGAUGUUGGGUUAAGUCCCGCAACGAGCGCAACCCCUAUUGUUAGUUGCCAUCAUUCAGUUGGGCACUCUAGCGAGACUGCCGGUAAUAAACCGGAGGAAGGUGGGGAUGACGUCAAAUCNUCAUNCCCCUUAUGACCUGGGCUACACACGUGCUACAAUGGCUGGUACAACGAGUCGCAAGCCGGUGACGGCAAGCUAAUCUCUUAAAGCCAGUCUCAGUUCGGAUUGUAGGCUGC
This 412-nucleotide ribosomal RNA is filed under the name uncultured bacterium. RNAcentral's name for it is "partial 16S ribosomal RNA". It matches the Rfam family "Bacterial small subunit ribosomal RNA", at positions 895 to 1308 of the family's 1533-position model. The record is from RNAcentral.